CACACUCAAAUGCACAGCGUUCAGACGUGCUCAAUGGGAUGUUCAGUGCUUUCACUCACUCACUCACGCACAGCCACGCACACAGAGAGACACGCGCGCGGCGAAUUAAUAAUUACACAGCUCGCACAUGAUAUAUCGAAAUCAAUAAUGGUUUUAUUUUUCUGGUAAUUACGGUCGGGUAGUUUUUAUUUAUUUAUGUAAGCAUUAUAUUGUGCAGUUCUGUGUAUGCUCUCAGCGUGAUGAGCUCUUUUUUGGGGGAGACCGGGCUGAGCGACGUUUCGGCGUGCGAGUCUAUUUCUCGGAUGAACGAGCGACUUCUGGAUUUAUCUUGUCACGUUUCGGCCCUUGGGAAGUUCACGGAUGAUUUCAAUUCGCCGCUGAAGACCCUCUCGGAUUGUACUUCACGCAUCGUCACCACCGAGCGACUCCGGCUCCGGGGAGAUCGUCUCGAAGCGCCGUGGCCUCAACGCCCACCGGAUUAACUUGCAAAUCGUUCAACCAAUAAAACCAAUCAACUCGGCAAAAAUUCCGAACAUCCAUUCAUUCGUUCGUUCGUCUCGCGACGCCGCCGAGUUUAUUGGAUGCGAACGCCGCCUCGCGUGGAUCAAGCACGGGGAGGGGUGGUGGAGGGGGUGACCCAAUUCCUUCGCUGGAAGUCUCCGCUGGAAGAUGGCUGAAGAGGCCAAUCCGAGCCCGGCAUUCUCUGUGGCACACUGGACAGGUCAGGGAGGAUGAAGAGCUCUGAGGUGCAGCCACACGUCCUUCCUUGGUAGAUUUGCGCUGCUGCCUCUUCAAGAUAGCACAGGAGCUUCUCCUACUCUCACAGAGGACUGCAGCGUCCUGUACUUUUCUUCUCCAGGCAGGGCGGAACCGGAGGAGGACCCGGAGAAAACCCAACGCGGUCACCAUGUGGACAGCGAGAUCACGCGAACUUCAAAUAUACAACAGGCAUCGUCAGGGUCCGGAAUCAAACCCACGACCUCCUACGUAGCAGGCGAGCGAGAUAACAGCUCAUCACCAUCGCGUCUUGGGAGAGAGAUCCCGUUGCUGUUGAAGAGUCAAGAGACACAUUGAAGGGCGACUCACCUUCAGCUCAUCUCCUUGAUCGCCGAGCGCUGGACGCCACUCAAAUUCCC
Long non-coding RNA from Lethenteron reissneri (Far Eastern brook lamprey), 1136 nucleotides. RefSeq lists it as uncharacterized. Lineage: Eukaryota; Metazoa; Chordata; Hyperoartia; Petromyzontiformes; Petromyzontidae. The record is from RefSeq and is a predicted model, not a curated record.